GGGUUGUGAGGUUAAGCGACUAAGCGUACACGGUGGAUGCCCUGGCAGUCAGAGGCGAUGAAGGACGUGCUAAUCUGCGAAAAGCGCCGGCGAGGUGAUAUGAACCUUUGACCCGGCGAUGUCCGAAUGGGGAAACCCAGUGUGAUUCGUCACACUAUCGUUAACUGAAUACAUAGGUUAACGAGGCGAACCGGGGGAACUGAAACAUCUAAGUACCCCGAGGAAAAGAAAUCAACCGAGAUUCCCCCAGUAGCGGCGAGCGAACGGGGAGCAGCCCAGAGUCUGAAUCAGCUUGUGUGUUAGUGGAAGCGUCUGGAAAGUCGCACGGUACAGGGUGACAGUCCCGUACACGAAAAUGCACAGGUUGUGAACUCGAAGAGUAGGGCGGGACACGUGGUAUCCUGUCUGAAUAUGGGGGGACCAUCCUCCAAGGCUAAAUACUCCUGACUGACCGAUAGUGAACCAGUACCGUGAGGGAAAGGCGAAAAGAACCCCGGCGAGGGGAGUGAAAUAGAACCUGAAACCGUGUACGUACAAGCAGUGGGAGCACCUUCGUGGUGUGACUGCGUACCUUUUGUAUAAUGGGUCAGCGACUUAUAUUCUGUAGCAAGGUUAACCGUAUAGGGGAGCCGAAGGGAAACCGAGUCUUAACUGGGCGUUAAGUUGCAGGGUAUAGACCCGAAACCCGGUGAUCUAGCCAUGGGCAGGUUGAAGGUUGGGUAACACUAACUGGAGGACCGAACCGACUAAUGUUGAAAAAUUAGCGGAUGACUUGUGGCUGGGGGUGAAAGGCCAAUCAAACCGGGAGAUAGCUGGUUCUCCCCGAAAGCUAUUUAGGUAGCGCCUCGUGAACUCAUCUUCGGGGGUAGAGCACUGUUUCGGCUAGGGGGCCAUCCCGGCUUACCAACCCGAUGCAAACUACGAAUACCGAAGAAUGUUAUCACGGGAGACACACGGCGGGUGCUAACGUCCGUCGUGAAGAGGGAAACAACCCAGACCGCCAGCUAAGGUCCCAAAGUCAUGGUUAAGUGGGAAACGAUGUGGGAAGGCACAGACAGCCAGGAUGUUGGCUUAGAAGCAGCCAUCAUUUAAAGAAAGCGUAAUAGCUCACUGGUCGAGUCGGCCUGCGCGGAAGAUGUAACGGGGCUAAACCAUGCACCGAAGCUGCGGCAGCGACACUAUGUGUUGUUGGGUAGGGGAGCGUUCUGUAAGCCGUUGAAGGUGUGCUGUGAGGCAUGCUGGAGGUAUCAGAAGUGCGAAUGCUGACAUAAGUAACGAUAAAGCGGGUGAAAAGCCCGCUCGCCGGAAGACCAAGGGUUCCUGUCCAACGUUAAUCGGGGCAGGGUGAGUCGACCCCUAAGGCGAGGCCGAAAGGCGUAGUCGAUGGGAAACAGGUUAAUAUUCCUGUACUUGGUGUUACUGCGAAGGGGGGACGGAGAAGGCUAUGUUAGCCGGGCGACGGUUGUCCCGGUUUAAGCAUGUAGGCGGAACGAUUAGGUAAAUCCGGUCGUUUUUUAACGCUGAGGUGUGAUGACGAGGCACUACGGUGCUGAAGUAACAAAUGCCCUGCUUCCAGGAAAAGCCUCUAAGCAUCAGGUAACAUUAAAUCGUACCCCAAACCGACACAGGUGGUCAGGUAGAGAAUACCAAGGCGCUUGAGAGAACUCGGGUGAAGGAACUAGGCAAAAUGGUGCCGUAACUUCGGGAGAAGGCACGCUGAUAUGUAGGUGAAGCCCCUGCGGGUGGAGCUGAAAUCAGUCGAAGAUACCAGCUGGCUGCAACUGUUUAUUAAAAACACAGCACUGUGCAAACACGAAAGUGGACGUAUACGGUGUGACGCCUGCCCGGUGCCGGAAGGUUAAUUGAUGGGGUUAGCGGCAACGCGAAGCUCUUGAUCGAAGCCCCGGUAAACGGCGGCCGUAACUAUAACGGUCCUAAGGUAGCGAAAUUCCUUGUCGGGUAAGUUCCGACCUGCACGAAUGGCGUAAUGAUGGCCAGGCUGUCUCCACCCGAGACUCAGUGAAAUUGAACUCGCUGUGAAGAUGCAGUGUACCCGCGGCAAGACGGAAAGACCCCGUGAACCUUUACUAUAGCUUGACACUGAACACUGGUCCUUGAUGUGUAGGAUAGGUGGGAGGCUUUGAAGUGUGGACGCCAGUCUGCAUGGAGCCGUCCUUGAAAUACCACCCUUUAAUGGCUGGUGUUCUAACGUAGACCCGUAAUCCGGGUUGCGGACAGUGUCUGGUGGGUAGUUUGACUGGGGCGGUCUCCUCCCAAAGAGUAACGGAGGAGCACGAAGGUUAGCUAAUCCUGGUCGGACAUCAGGAGGUUAGUGCAAUGGCAUAAGCUAGCUUGACUGCGAGAGUGACGGCUCGAGCAGGUGCGAAAGCAGGUCAUAGUGAUCCGGUGGUUCUGAAUGGAAGGGCCAUCGCUCAACGGAUAAAAGGUACUCCGGGGAUAACAGGCUGAUACCGCCCAAGAGUUCAUAUCGACGGCGGUGUUUGGCACCUCGAUGUCGGCUCAUCACAUCCUGGGGCUGAAGUAGGUCCCAAGGGUAUGGCUGUUCGCCAUUUAAAGUGGUACGCGAGCUGGGUUUAGAACGUCGUGAGACAGUUCGGUCCCUAUCUGCCGUGGGCGCUGGAGAAUUGAGGGGGGCUGCUCCUAGUACGAGAGGACCGGAGUGGACGCAUCACUGGUGUUCGGGUUGUCAUGCCAAUGGCACUGCCCGGUAGCUAAAUGCGGAAAAGAUAAGUGCUGAAAGCAUCUAAGCACGAAACUUGCCCCGAGAUGAGUUCUCCCUGAGACUUUAAGUCUCCUGAAGGAACGUUGAAGACGACGACGUUGAUAGGUCGGGUGUGUAAGCGCAGCGAUGCGUUGAGCUAACCGAUACUAAUGAACCGUGAGGCUUAACCUUACAACGCCGAAG
Molecule: ribosomal RNA, 2926 nt
Filed under: Enterobacter roggenkampii
Lineage: Bacteria; Pseudomonadati; Pseudomonadota; Gammaproteobacteria; Enterobacterales; Enterobacteriaceae
Description: 23S ribosomal RNA
Rfam family: Bacterial large subunit ribosomal RNA
Source: RNAcentral